Nicotiana tabacum (common tobacco) is the source of this 531-nucleotide non-coding RNA. NCBI's taxonomy places the organism in Eukaryota, Viridiplantae, Streptophyta, Magnoliopsida, Solanales, Solanaceae. The record is from RefSeq and is a predicted model, not a curated record.
GCGCGUGGAACAUAAAUUUUAACCCAAAUAUGAUUGCUCCAACGACUCUUUCUCUCUUUUUUCCUAUAUAUUCUCUUCUACAUCCCUUCCUCCAUUAAAGAACAUCUGUUGUGCCUUUCCUUAUUCAUGCCAUCAACUUUCUACGUCUUCUUCCAAUUUAACUUCAUGGAUUCAAAGCGGAAGUUAUUUUGUGUGUGGGGGUAUCCUCCAGUAUUGAAAAUUUUAUGGUCAAAUGAUAAUCCGGGGCUUAGAUUCUUCGGUUGUAAGUACUAUGGGCCCAUGUGAAUAUUUCGAGUGGUAUGACCCCCAAUUCCCUAGGCAAGCAAAUGUUGUGAUAUUGAGUUUGCUAAAGAAGAGCAACAAUCAACAAAGACAAUUGAAGUGGAAGAAAGUGUUGAAGCUAAUAUUAUAUUUUAUCUUGUUAUGCAAUGUAAUAAUGUAUUUGAAUUUUUGUCUAUAAUCUAGUUAACGGAAUGUCAGAAGAUGUAGUUGUAUUUUAGUUCGAUCAAUGUAGUCUCCAAUUGUAUUUUA